AAGGGUACAGCUCAGUGAUAAAGUGCAUGCUUAGCAUGCACAAGGUCCUGGGUUCAAUCCCCAGUACCUUCA
Camelus ferus (Wild Bactrian camel) is the source of this 72-nucleotide transfer RNA. It matches the Rfam family "tRNA". From Rfam's summary of the family: Transfer RNA (tRNA) molecules are approximately 80 nucleotides in length. Their secondary structure includes four short double-helical elements and three loops (D, anti-codon, and T loops). Further hydrogen bonds mediate the characteristic L-shaped molecular structure. tRNAs have two regions of fundamental functional importance: the anti-codon, which is responsible for specific mRNA codon recognition, and the 3' end, to which the tRNAs corresponding amino acid is attached (by aminoacyl-tRNA synthetases). tRNAs cope with the degeneracy of the genetic code in two manners: having more than one tRNA (with a specific anti-codon) for a particular amino acid; and 'wobble' base-pairing, i.e. permitting non-standard base-pairing at the 3rd anti-codon position. NCBI's taxonomy places the organism in Eukaryota, Metazoa, Chordata, Mammalia, Artiodactyla, Camelidae. The record is from Rfam.